This 67-nucleotide transfer RNA is filed under the name Euproctis pseudoconspersa. RNAcentral's name for it is "tRNA-Arg". RNAcentral also lists the same sequence under 1 other name. The record is from RNAcentral. Lineage: Eukaryota; Metazoa; Arthropoda; Insecta; Lepidoptera; Erebidae.
AAAUAAGAAGCAAAAACAAUGCAUUUAAUUUCGACUUAAAAGAAUGAGUUUGAUAACUCCUUAUUUA